UUUAAGCAUUUUUUCGGAGUACAACAAUUCUAACUAAAUUCAAUUGCAAUAAUCACAUACGAGAGUAGAGUCAGUGUGUGCUGCGCAUAUUUUUAUUAAAUAAAUUUGUGCACGAUAUUAGAGUCUGUGUUGUUCGCCGAGUAUAAUUUAAACGGAUGCGUUAAUAGUGUAGUCCUUCAUUUUUUUUUUAAUCUACAUAUAUACAUACUUUUGUGCGUCUUUCGAGAUUCUUCGAUGCUUCAAAAGUCAAUAAUAUUUUUCGAGGGAUCCACUUCAGUGGGGUCAAUGGUUCCUGCUUGGCGGCUAUUUUCAUGGUGAUGGUCUCCAAGGUGGCUACUCCCGUGCUUGCAGUCCCCAUGAUGACAUCCUUCGCAUCUAAUGGUUUAGCCUCCCGCGUCGGUUCCUCUGAAAAUUCCUUUUGUUACUUUGCACAACGGUAAGAAAUUAAACGUUCUGCAAAUGUACACCACAUGAGAAUUUAUUUAAAAAUAGAUAAACUUUUGGAACGCGUUUUCAUAUAAAAGGUUUAUUAGAUUA
Long non-coding RNA from Eufriesea mexicana, 537 nucleotides. RefSeq lists it as uncharacterized. NCBI's taxonomy places the organism in Eukaryota, Metazoa, Arthropoda, Insecta, Hymenoptera, Apidae. The transcript is spliced from 3 exons. The record is from RefSeq and is a predicted model, not a curated record.